GGGGGCGCAGCUCAGAUGGUAGAGCGCUCGCUUAGCAUGCGAGAGGUACGGGGAUCGAUACCGCGCCUCCA
RNAcentral lists this transfer RNA (71 nucleotides) under Trichonephila clavata. It matches the Rfam family "tRNA". From Rfam's summary of the family: Transfer RNA (tRNA) molecules are approximately 80 nucleotides in length. Their secondary structure includes four short double-helical elements and three loops (D, anti-codon, and T loops). Lineage: Eukaryota; Metazoa; Arthropoda; Arachnida; Araneae; Nephilidae. The record is from Rfam by way of RNAcentral.